This 880-nucleotide ribosomal RNA is filed under the name Lactococcus lactis subsp. lactis. RNAcentral describes it as "bacterial SSU rRNA". It matches the Rfam family "Bacterial small subunit ribosomal RNA", at positions 38 to 904 of the family's 1533-position model. The record is from RNAcentral. Lineage: Bacteria; Bacillati; Bacillota; Bacilli; Lactobacillales; Streptococcaceae.
AUCGGCGGCUAUACAUGCAAGUUGAGCGCUGAAGGUUGGUACUUGUACCAACUGGAUGAGCAGCGAACGGGUGAGUAACGCGUGGGGAAUCUGCCUUUGAGCGGGGGACAACAUUUGGAAACGAAUGCUAAUACCGCAUAAAAACUUUAAACACAAGUUUUAAGUUUGAAAGAUGCAAUUGCAUCACUCAAAGAUGAUCCCGCGUUGUAUUAGCUAGUUGGUGAGGUAAAGGCUCACCAAGGCGAUGAUACAUAGCCGACCUGAGAGGGUGAUCGGCCACAUUGGGACUGAGACACGGCCCAAACUCCUACGGGAGGCAGCAGUAGGGAAUCUUCGGCAAUGGACGAAAGUCUGACCGAGCAACGCCGCGUGAGUGAAGAAGGUUUUCGGAUCGUAAAACUCUGUUGGUAGAGAAGAACGUUGGUGAGAGUGGAAAGCUCAUCAAGUGACGGUAACUACCCAGAAAGGGACGGCUAACUACGUGCCAGCAGCCGCGGUAAUACGUAGGUCCCGAGCGUUGUCCGGAUUUAUUGGGCGUAAAGCGAGCGCAGGUGGUUUAUUAAGUCUGGUGUAAAAGGCAGUGGCUCAACCAUUGUAUGCAUUGGAAACUGGUAGACUUGAGUGCAGGAGAGGAGAGUGGAAUUCCAUGUGUAGCGGUGAAAUGCGUAGAUAUAUGGAGGAACACCGGUGGCGAAAGCGGCUCUCUGGCCUGUAACUGACACUGAGGCUCGAAAGCGUGGGGAGCAAACAGGAUUAGAUACCCUGGUAGUCCACGCCGUAAACGAUGAGUGCUAGAUGUAGGGAGCUAUAAGUUCUCUGUAUCGCAGCUAACGCAAUAAGCACUCCGCCUGGGGAGUACGACCGCAAGGUUGAAACUCAG